AUACUUACCUGGCGUAGGGAAUUCCGUGAUCAUGCAGGCGGUUCCCCCACGGCGAGGCUACUCCAUUGCGGAGUUGUUGACCCUUGCGAUUAUUUUUAUUUUUAUCAAUAAAAACAUCACAAUAUAAAAAUAUACCUGAAUAAUUAUUUUCUUUAAAC
Small nuclear RNA from Bombyx mandarina (wild silkworm), 158 nucleotides. The record is from RefSeq and is a predicted model, not a curated record. Lineage: Eukaryota; Metazoa; Arthropoda; Insecta; Lepidoptera; Bombycidae.